AUCUACAGCCAUGCUACUUUGAAUAAGCCCGAUCCCAUCUGAUCUCGGAAGCUAAGCAGAGUCGGGCCUGGCUAGUACUUGGAUGGGAGACCACCUAGGAAGACCAGGCGCUGUAGGCG
This 119-nucleotide ribosomal RNA is filed under the name Pteropus alecto (black flying fox). Lineage: Eukaryota; Metazoa; Chordata; Mammalia; Chiroptera; Pteropodidae. The record is from RNAcentral.